UUGCUCAGUGGGUUAACAAUCCGGCGUUGCUGCGAGCUGUGGUGUAGGUUGCAGACGCGGCUCGGAUCCCUCGUUGCUGUGGCUCUGGCGUAGGCUGGCAGCUACAGCUCCGAUUGGACCCCUAGCCUGGGAACCUCCAUAUGCCGCAGGAGCAGCCCAAGAAAUAGCAAAAAAAAAAAAAAAAGAAAUGACAGCAGCCUCCACCAAGGGUGUCAGAUGCACACAACGACGCAGGCCAGGCACAGACAUUUCCAAAAAGGACACGUUAGCCAACACUGUAAGACCACAGAACCUAAAGCGGCCAGCAGCCUAAGACCUCUCACCUGGCCACCGAAGAUGUUGAUUAAUGAAAUCCUCCAGCGUGUCAGGGGAGCCAGGCCCAGGGUCACUGACCUCUGCCAGACUAGUUGGAAGAGACAGGAGCCAUAGAGACUGAAGCUGAAAAGGAAUUCCCUCUGUACUGCUUUCCUCCUAAGUGGGGAGAGUAACAGUGAAGUUUGGGGAAUCUUGACUUGUCCAGAAAAAGACAGAAAGCAGGGAACAGACUGCAGUAAACUAGGGUAUAUUUCACUGCUUUGGUAGUUUUCCAAGUGUGGUCUCUGGACUAGUCACAUCAACUUCACCUGAGAGCUGGUUAGAAAUGCAAAUUCUCGGAGUUCCCUUGGGGCACAGAAGGUUAAAGAUCCAUCAUAGUCACUGUAGUGGCUUGGAUCGCUGCAGAGGCUGGGGUCACUGCUGUAGCACAGGUUUGAUUCCUGGCCCAGGAAUUUUCCUAUGCCAUGGUGCAGCUGGAAAAAAAUAAAAUAAAGAAAAGAAAAAGAAAAAAAAAAGAGGCAAACUCUCAGGCCCUCCUGAAACAGAAGCUGCGGGGGCAGGACCCUAGUGAUUUACACUUUAACAAGCAUAGGUGAUUCAGAAGCAAGUUCAAGUUUAAAACCAUUUCCCUAUAACAUAAUUCACCACAGAUGUCAUUUAAACAACAUAUUUCUUACUCCUCCACACAACUUGAUGGUAAAAAUGAACACUCUGGGACUUUCGUGGUGGCUCAGCAGGUUAAAUAUCUGGCAUUGUCACUGCUGUGAUGUGGUUCAAUCCCUGGCCUGGGAACUUUUGCAUGCCGUGGGUGCCACACCAAAAAAAUUAAUUAAUUUUAAAAAGUUAAUACUUUGGCUCUUUUAAUUUAUUCAAUAGAAAAUUAUCAAAUUAUCAGAUUUACCCCUCCCCAUUUAUUUGCAUAAACUUGUCAGGAACAUAAAGCAAAGAACAACUGUUUCAUACAUUGUAUGAAUAAAACUUUGUUUCCAAAAAACACUGGAAGUGGCUGGUGAUGAAUGUAAUUACUGUUUACCACAGAUCUCAAAUGUGCUAUAUGAAGACUGUUAAAAAAUUUACUCAAGUUCUCUUGUGGCUCAGCAGUUUAAGGAUCUGGCAUUGUCACUGCAGUAACAGGUUGCUGCUGUGAUGUGGGUUCAAUUCUUGGCCCUGGAACUUCUGCAUGCCUUAGGUGUAGCCAAAAAAAAAAAGGAAUUACUUCAUAAAUGACCUAAAACCUUGCAGAGAUUUGAAGACCAGCACUUCCUAGGCCAGAAAAUCAAAAAGCCUAGGAAAAAUAUGCUGAGAUCUGUGAGCCAUUCAGCAAUACUGCAUAUAGAAUUGUCCUGGGGCCUUCAAAUGAGAGCAUUCACCGGUCUUCCGCUGCAGCAUAACCAGUGAGCACUCGUCUGGGAAUUCUCAUGUGUUGAUAAAAUUCCAAGAGCCCCAUAGUACAUUCUCUAUCUACAAAAUAUAUUUUCUUCCAUUAAAGCGAGUUUUGUUCAGGCCCUCUGCAACCACUACAAUGAUUCUAGUUUUCUUAUGGGUACAUUCCAUGUAACAAAUGGCAGAAAACACAGAAGUAGUGGGGCUAGGCUCUCUAACCUGGUGCUGAAUUACAAGUCUCCCCCUUAGCUCGUGACUCUGGGGAAGGCAGCUUACAUGCCCUUUGCUCAGACAUCAAGUAGGCAAUGUUGAGAAGUGCCUGCUAUAAUACCGCACCAAGAAUCUAUUAUUCAUGUAUUGAUUCCCUUCUGGGCCAGGAGUACAACAGAUGUCUAUAAAGGGCAAUCGACUGAGAAUGGGCCCAGCGGUAUCAUAACAUCAGUCUCCACUAGGUGGCAAUAACGGUGCUAGGUAAUUGGUUAUUAACGUUGAUCAGAACUCAGCACUGUUUCUUACUAGUGAUUUAUUCAUUCAUUCAACAAAUAUUUAUUCGAUGGCUGCUAUGGGCCUGCCACCAUAGUUAAGAUACAAAGACCAGUGAAGAAAGACAGAGUCCCUAUCUAUGGACCUUAGGUCUAGGUGAGGAAAUGGACAGAGAAUCACAGCAAUAAAAUAGCACACCAUAGUAAGUGCUGUGAGUGCACAAGGGGAGAACUGCCCAUUGGGGGGGUGGGGGGGAAAGCAUCCCUGAUAAAGGGAUGACGAAGAGAUGGAGGUGUCCCAGGAAGGUGAGGGGUGGGAAGUCAAUGCUCAGGCAGAAGGGAGGGCCUGUCAGUGGCUCCUGGAAAGUGGGACGACUGCAAGGCCACAUGGCUGGAGCCCAAAGAGCAGGGGAGCAGGAUGGGAGCUGCCCACCCUGGAGGGAGGAGCAAAAGGCAGGCAGCCUUGUAAGCCUAGUUCUUGGUGGGGCUUUGGAUCUAGAUCCACAGAGCAGCAGGAGCCCACUGAUGGGUUUUUAAACCCAGGAGGGGAGAGGGCUGGGUGACUAGAUUGGAUUUGCAUUUAACAAGGUCAGAUUUGCAUUUUAACAGGGUGACUGAGGUCUUCUCUGCUGGGGGUUCAGCUGAAGUGGAGGGACUGAAGGGGGGCAGGUCCUCCCAGGUGCAGGAGACCAGUUAAAGAACUACCACUGGAGUCUAAGAGGAAGGAUUUGUCUUGGGUCAGGAUAGGGACCUGGAAACGGAAACGACUGAGAGAUGGGGAAAGUACCAGAACUCAGUGGCUAGGGGGUGCGCAGGAAAGGGAGGUGCCAGAGAUGGCUCCCCAGUGUCUGGCUCGGACAAGCCGACAGAUAGAAAGAAAAUCGAAGGGGGAAAGGGGUCUCAAAUAGUGGCUGGGUAGCAGAGAAAGAAAGUCAUGAGCACUUUUAUUUAUCAUUUAUUUAUUUUUGUCUUUUAGGGCCACGCCCAUGCUAGGGGUUCAAUCGGAGCUACGGCUACUGGCCUACACCACAGCCACAGCCACGCCAGAUCCUAACCCACUGAUCGAGGCCAGGGAUCGAAACUGCAGCCUCAUGGAUACUAGUCAGUUUCAUUUCCUCUGAGCCACGUGGGAACUCCACAAGUUCACUUUUAGACAUGCUGACUUUGAGAGUUUUUUUUUUUUUUUUGGUUUUUGUUUUUUGUGUUUUUUGUUUGUUUUUGUCCUUUUGCCUUUUCUAGGGCCGCUCCCUCGGCAUAUGGAGGUUCCCAGGCUAGGGGUCAAAUUGGAGCUGUGGCUGCAGGGGGCCUAUGCUACAGCCACAGCAACACCAGAUCCACACUGAAUCUCAGAUCUACACUUGCUUGUGGCAAUGAAGAUCCUUAACCCACUGAAUAAGGAUGGGAACAAGGAAAUUUCUUCAUGGAUACCAUGUUGGGUUCUUAACCUGCUGAGCCACAAUGGGAACUCCACAAUUAUCAAUUAAUAUACAUUAAUAUUCCUCAGAAGGUAGGCAUUACAUUUAUGGUCUGUUUUAAGGUGCUUAUAGUUAUUACUAGUAAUGGAAAUAUGCACCACACAAUGUGUUAUGUAGUGACUAGAAUUAGGAUCAUUGUUCAAAGGUUUAAAACAGAAACAAAAUUUCUAACUAAUAAGUAUUUCAUGAUUAAUUACAUAACAAUACCUCAAACUUACAAAGUAGUUUAUGUUUAAAAGUCUGUCAUUUGUAGUCAAUAGAACACAUGGAAUCUGCUGUCAGUCAAACCUGACUUCAAAUUCUG
Molecule: long non-coding RNA, 3959 nt
Filed under: Sus scrofa (pig)
Lineage: Eukaryota; Metazoa; Chordata; Mammalia; Artiodactyla; Suidae
Description: lncRNA (ENSSSCG00065020243.1)
Source: RNAcentral